Molecule: small RNA, 100 nt
Filed under: Pan troglodytes (chimpanzee)
Lineage: Eukaryota; Metazoa; Chordata; Mammalia; Primates; Hominidae
Description: processed transcript
Source: RNAcentral
CCGCGCCGCCACCAUGCUAAACAACCUGACGGACUGCGAGGACGGCGAUGGGGGAGCCAACCCGGAUCCCUGACCCCUCUCCCUUCUCAGGUGAUGGCAA